RNAcentral lists this transfer RNA (42 nucleotides) under Aristida latifolia. RNAcentral describes it as "partial tRNA-Phe". It matches the Rfam family "tRNA", at positions 1 to 40 of the family's 71-position model. Rfam says of the family: Transfer RNA (tRNA) molecules are approximately 80 nucleotides in length. Their secondary structure includes four short double-helical elements and three loops (D, anti-codon, and T loops). The record is from RNAcentral. Lineage: Eukaryota; Viridiplantae; Streptophyta; Magnoliopsida; Poales; Poaceae. RNAcentral also lists the same sequence under 11 other names.
GGUCAGGAUAGCUCAGUUGGUAGAGCAGAGGACUGAAAAUCC